UACGGUCACGUCACGUUGAAGCACCGGUUCCUAUAGGUACGCCGAAGUUAAGCAACGUUGCGCCUGUUCAGUGCCUAGAUGAGUUGCCGCUUGGGAAUAACAGAUGCUAU
This is a non-coding RNA of Acanthosepion pharaonis, 110 nucleotides long. NCBI's taxonomy places the organism in Eukaryota, Metazoa, Mollusca, Cephalopoda, Sepiida, Sepiidae. The record is from the annotation of a GenBank genome assembly.